UACGUAGGGUGCAAGCGUUACUCGGAAUUACUGGGCGUAAAGCGUGCGCAGGCGGUUAUGCAAGACAGAUGUGAAAUCCCCGGGCUCAACCUGGGAACUGCAUUUGUGACUGCAUAGCUGGAGUGCGGCAGAGGGGGAUGGAAUUCCGCGUGUAGCAGUGAAAUGCGUAGAUAUGCGGAGGAACACCGAUGGCGAAGGCAAUCCCCUGGGCCUGCACUGACGCUCAUGCACGAAAGCGUGGGGAGCAAACAGG
Molecule: ribosomal RNA, 253 nt
Filed under: uncultured bacterium
Lineage: Bacteria
Description: partial 16S ribosomal RNA
Rfam family: Bacterial small subunit ribosomal RNA
Source: RNAcentral